AUUCUCGCUUGUGUGUGCAUAUUGUGGUGAUGUUGCCACAAGG
Molecule: small RNA, 43 nt
Filed under: Vibrio cholerae O1 biovar El Tor str. N16961
Lineage: Bacteria; Pseudomonadati; Pseudomonadota; Gammaproteobacteria; Vibrionales; Vibrionaceae
Source: RNAcentral